AAACAUCUUUUUUUGAAUUUUAUUUAAGAUAUAACCUGCCCUAUGAUUUAUUUAAAUGGCCGCGGUAUACUGACUGUGCAAAGGUAGCAUAAUCAUUAGUUUAAUAAUUGUAAACUUGUAUGAAAGGUUGGACGAGAUAUUGACUGUCUAUUUUAUAUAAUUGAAUUUAAAUUUUAAGUUAAAAUGCUUAAAUGUUUUUAUAAGACGAGAAGACCCUAUAGAUCUUUAUUAUUUUACUAUACUUAUUUUUUAGAUUAAUUAUUUAUUUAUAGUAUAAUUGUUUUGUUGGGGUGACAUGGAGAUAAAUGAAUAACUCUUUAUUUUUAUAUACAAUGAUUUUUGAUUUGAUGAUUUUAUUUUAAUAAUAUAAGAUUAGAUACCUUAGGGAUAACAGCGUAAUUUUUUUUGAGAGUUCAUAUUGACAAAGAAGUUUGCGACCUCGAUGUUGGAUUAAGAUUAUUAUUAAGUGAAGAUGCUUAAUUAAUAGGUCUGUUCGACCUUUAAAUUCUUACAUGAUCUGA
This 521-nucleotide ribosomal RNA is filed under the name Prisomera spinicollis. Its description in RNAcentral is "partial 16S ribosomal RNA". It matches the Rfam family "Bacterial large subunit ribosomal RNA", at positions 1811 to 2608 of the family's 2925-position model. Lineage: Eukaryota; Metazoa; Arthropoda; Insecta; Phasmatodea; Lonchodidae. The record is from RNAcentral.